CUACUUGGAUCAUGCUAGGCCUGGCCACUUCCCAGUGAAGCCAGUGGGAUGUGAAUGUAGCCAACUGACCUUGAUUGUGAACUGAAAAACAAGCAUUUCUCUUAAGUAACCUCUCAGGUAUUUAAAGAAUUUCUCAAACGCGACUACGAGAUAUACCAAAUCCUCUUCAUAUGUGAGGGGAAAAAGAAAAGUUCCUGUUAGCCCAGCAACAGUAGGAACAUGGACUAUUGUGAUGUGUUGUGGUCUGAACUUCAGAGCGGGAAGGAAGACCGGACCCAAAAAGUUUCUCAGAUUCGUCGGCUCAUAUUCAGGAAGCUUUUGCUAGUGAACUGUAGUAGGAAAGUUGCUUCAUAUACGAAGACUGUCACAUUAAAUAAUAGGAUGCAAACACUAGAAGUGGUGUUUUCUAACCAAUGGAGAGGAAAUCGUUGCUGUGGACCAUGAUGAAGUUUGGAAGGGGUGUGACAGCGUGGCUUUCUGGCAGGCUCGUUAACAGAACCCCCUUUUUCACUUUGUAAAAUAAGACUUUGCCCAAAGAUGACCUAGGACCUUCUCUUUGCAGACUGUAUACAAGUUAAGUGUAAUCUUUAAUUGCUGGUUUCAAUAGGCCUUGGCUGGAGAGGGGUGCUCUCAUCAUGUUACAUGUAUAAUGUGCCCACUUCACACAAGUGAUAAGCGGACUGUUAUGGCACAUGGAGAAAUCCUUGGAGGGGUUCAAUCCCCGGACAAUACAGCUGAUGCUGUGGAGGUGACGGGGAAGUAAACAGGUUCAUGCGAGUCAUUUAGUUUCCCUAAUCUCCUCCACUCAUGCCUACUGGUGGUGUAGUAGUGUGUGCUAUGUGAAUGGGAAUAUUUUCUUAGCUGUAUCAGUGCUCUCAUGAUAGACACUUGAUGAGCUUAAAUAAAAUAUAUUAGUGGAUUUUCA
RNAcentral lists this long non-coding RNA (925 nucleotides) under Crocodylus porosus (Australian saltwater crocodile). RNAcentral's name for it is "lncRNA (ENSCPRG00005005506.1)". Lineage: Eukaryota; Metazoa; Chordata; Crocodylia; Crocodylidae. The record is from RNAcentral.